UCCAGGAAAUGCAGCCGCUGCAGGUUGAAGGGGAUGCCGACCAUCAGGUCCAGCUCUUCUUUGAGCUCCCGCACUGUCAUGUCGUUGCGGCAGUUGGCCACGCGGAACACCUCCCCAGUCUCCUCCAGCCUCACCCGCAGGAUAUAGACGUCAGGGGCAAAGUCCGGCGACGCGGUGGAGGCAAGCGGGUCCCCUGUGUGCCCCUUAACCCGUGCGCGGGCCCGGUUGGAGGGCUGAGCAGGGCGCGCGCCCGCCUUGGGGUCGCCCCCCUGCCGCUUCGGCGGACGCGUGCCCGCCCCCGCCACGUCUGCCGCCCUCUGCAUGGCCCGCGUCAUCCCGCGCGUCAUCGCCGCCCCCGCCUGGGGCCCCCGGGACAGGAGAGGGGCGCCCGCGCUUCCGGAGACGGCUCCAACCCCCCUCUUCCGCGGCCCUCGCCAGCCUCCUAGCCCUGUGGGGAACCUCGUCUGUUCUGGGCAGUCUGCGUGAUUAGUGAGAAACGCCCGGCCCACAGUUUCUAAGGUGGUCGCUAUGUGCUUGGAACAUAGCAAUCCAAGCUGACCUGGGCCACCUGGAACAGGCAGAGGCUUGCGUGGAAAUGGCACCAAACCCAUGUGCCCUGACGUUGUGACAUCCUUGGAGGGAGAAACAUGUCUGGCUUUGCUGUGGAAAAAUACCGGCUAUGUCCUCCUAACCCAACAGGGGGCGCUGGUGAGUCCUCUCACUGCAGUUGUUUACAAGGCAGCCAUCUAAACUGCAGGCCUUGGAUUAAGACUGGCUUCAUCAAAGCUGGCUUUCAGCACAGCUCCUGGAGAUGGCGUACCACCCCCCUUUGCCUUUGUGAUACCAGAAGACAGCAUGAUCAAACACCAAAACGAUUAAAACAAUACUUGGGGGAACAAAACCAAAGACAUGGCUUUCCAUGUCUAGCGGGAUCCUGA
Long non-coding RNA from Mastomys coucha (southern multimammate mouse), 938 nucleotides. RefSeq lists it as uncharacterized. Lineage: Eukaryota; Metazoa; Chordata; Mammalia; Rodentia; Muridae. The transcript is spliced from 2 exons. The record is from RefSeq and is a predicted model, not a curated record.